AUUGAACGCUGGCGGCAUGCCUUACACAUGCAAGUCGAACGGCAGCGGACCUUCGGGUGCCGGCGAGUGGCGAACGGGUGAGUAAUAUAUCGGAACGUACCCAGACGUGGGGGAUAACUACGCGAAAGCGUAGCUAAUACCGCAUACGCCCUGAGGGGGAAAGCGGGGGAUCUUCGGACCUCGCGCGAUUGGAGCGGCCGAUGUCGGAUUAGCUAGUUGGUGGGGUAAAGGCCUACCAAGGCGACGAUCCGUAGCUGGUCUGAGAGGACGACCAGCCACACUGGGACUGAGACACGGCCCAGACUCCUACGGGAGGCAGCAGUGGGGAAUAUUGGACAAUGGGGGCAACCCUGAUCCAGCGACGCCGCGUGUGUGAAGAAGGCCUGCGGGUUGUAAAGCACUUUUAGUGGGGAGGAAGGUCUGCGACCUAACACGUCGUGGAAUUGACUUAACCCACAGAAAAAGCACCGGCUAACUCUGUG
Molecule: ribosomal RNA, 482 nt
Filed under: uncultured bacterium
Lineage: Bacteria
Description: bacterial SSU rRNA
Rfam family: Bacterial small subunit ribosomal RNA
Source: RNAcentral